Molecule: ribosomal RNA, 465 nt
Filed under: uncultured bacterium
Lineage: Bacteria
Description: partial 16S ribosomal RNA
Rfam family: Bacterial small subunit ribosomal RNA
Source: RNAcentral
CCUACGGGAGGCAGCAGUGGGGAAUAUUGCGCAAUGGGCGAAAGCCUGACGCAGCGACGCCGCGUGAGGGAUGAAGGUCUUCGGAUCGUAAACCUCUGUCAGCAGGGAAGAACGGUCACUGUGCUAAUCAGCAGUGAAUUGACGGUACCUGCAACGGAAGCACCGGCUAACUCCGUGCCAGCAGCCGAGGUAAUACGGAGGGUGCGAGCGUUAAUCGGAAUUACUGGGCGUAAAGCGCUCGGGGGCGGUAUGUCAAGUCAAGGGUGAAAUCCCCGCGCUCAACGUGGGAACUGCCUUUGAAACUGGCAAACUGGAGUGUGUGAGAGGAUAGUGGAAUUCCAGGUGUAGGAGUGAAAGCCGUAGAUAUCUGGAGGAACAUCAGUGGCGAAGGCGACUAUCUGGCACAUAACUGACGCUGAGGAGCGAAAGCGUGGGUAGCAAACAGGAUUAGAUACCCCAGUAGUC